Molecule: non-coding RNA, 87 nt
Organism: Colletotrichum godetiae
Lineage: Eukaryota; Fungi; Ascomycota; Sordariomycetes; Glomerellales; Glomerellaceae
Source: the annotation of a RefSeq genome assembly
UACGAUAUGGUGUAGGGGCCAACAUGAUGCCCUAUUAUCUCUUUGAGAGGUUAGGCAUAGCCCCGAGUUCGAUUCUCGGUUUCGGGA